This 210-nucleotide long non-coding RNA is filed under the name Mytilus galloprovincialis (Mediterranean mussel). The record is from RNAcentral. Lineage: Eukaryota; Metazoa; Mollusca; Bivalvia; Mytilida; Mytilidae.
GUUCUGGUCUAUUUCCAGUUUUCAGCGAUUUUUCUAUAAAAACCUGUAUUUUACCCCAAAAAUAUCGUUUUUCCGCACUUCAGAUUUUGCAAGACUUUUGAUAUGUGAUAGAGGCCAUAUUAACCUUUAAAAUGAGACCAAAUUUCUUUCUGUUGCAAUUUGUUUAAGGUUGAGCUAUUUUUGGGGUAGAAUGACUGGACUAUAUAUAUG